GAAGGUUUGUGGUACCUUCUUGAGUCGAUCUCCCUGCCACUGGCACAUUAGAGAGCUCAUCCACUAAAGGCGGACUUACCCAUGCGCCCUGGACGGCACCUGCAGGUCCUUUGCAGGAUUAGGAUGUGAAGGAAAAGGUCGAAUGCCGGGCUGUGGUCACAGCUCUCUGCUAGUGCAGACAGAGAGCGUGGGCAACAAACAGUCUUCUAGGCGGAGGCAGUGGGGGAAACCAGGUAGACACCUGUGAGCGCGGUUUCUGGGAACUCUCGCGAGACUGUGGAGAGGUGGGCCAAGGGGGGAGGGGGCUUGAUGAACUAGCUCUUCUCUGGUUCCUCAGAAGCCAGCCCCCUGCAGGAGAGAAACAGGAGGGGGUGCAGAAAGCUUGCCUACAACCCCCACUCCCUGGAGGACCCAGAUGGUCCAGUCGUUGGUUGGGUCCCUUCCUCCAAGAAGUGUCUUCCGCUUCCCUCUUUGGGGAAAUCCUCGUUCAGCUUUUAAAGCCUUUUGGCAUCUUUUGCCUGCCUUCAAAAACUGAGCUUGUUGGAAGCAGCCUGAUAAAUCACUCUUCGCAUCUUGGCUGCCGCGGGACUUACAGAGAGAGGUUGUCGCGUGAUUUACAGCUGCUGUCUGAGAGGGCUUUUCCAAAGGGCCAGCUCAGACUAGCGAGUCAUCUCUGGCAAGAUGAGCCUUUUUGUCUAGUUCAAACUGAUGCGAAAGAGAAGAAAUAGGACUGCUUUAUCCAAAACUUGCUGGCCAUCCCUGCCUCCAGCCAGCUGGAAUCUCCAACUUCGUUUCUUCCUUGCAACUUGAGCUCAAGAAGUAAGCGUCCAGGAAAGUGGUUUGUCAUGAGAGGCCGGCUGGAGGCCUGCUGGAGAGAGGAGAGCUUUCUUUUUCUGAACUGAAGUUACACAAUGCUGGGCAGGCCCUCUGAUUUGUGGUCAUGGUUUCCCAGAACCCCAAGGGGCCCAUCCAGGAAACCGCCCAUGUUCCCUCCCCUGAGUGUCUGCUGCCUCCCAGGGGGAUUUCAUUUCCUUGAUUGUUUUCCACAGUUGCUGGCGGAAGUCAGGUGCCCAGGACCAGCGUGAACGUGGGCUGCUUCCAAGAUGCUUCGCUUGGUCCCAGUGGCGGGGUGAGGUGGGGAGACCCUGAGCCUCGUGCAGAAACAGCUCUUCAUUUUAGUUCUAGCUUAUUCUUGUACGUCAAGUUAAUUGACCUCUUCCAGCAUGAAUUCUUCAUUUCCAAAAUCAGUAUAAGAACUUCUAUGAGAAUUUUUUUUUGGAUUAAACCUAAAAUAGCUGGCAUAAAGUAGGUAAACAAGUAAAUCCAAAUUAAAAAAUAUAUAUAUAUGUGUAUAUAUUUUAAUUUUUGUUGCUUGUUCUCUGUUUUUUGUUUUGUUUUGCUUUUUUUUUCCCCCUGCUAACAGUUUUUCGGCCUACAUUCCUAUGGGAGCCCAAAAGGAAUGCUUAAAAGACACGAGAGUUAUAAUUUAGUACAAGUUUGCUAAAAAUAACUUUUGUUAAGAGGAGAUUUGAGGAGAUACUUUUAGCUACACACAACUCAUCCAGUUAGGGUUAAUGGAGAGCUUUUUAGGAGUGUACUUUGCUGCAGGACACAGAUCAUGAAGAUUGAGUGAGUUUUUAUCACGUAGAGAGAAUACAGGUUUUUAUCUCUGGGGUGAAAAAUCUCCCUGGGGACGUUUACCACUGUAAAGGAAAUGACAGGCCAUUUGAAAAAGUAGAAAAAUGUGUUCAUUUUUGCUUCCCAACAAUGGAGUGUCUUCCUUCUGAGAAAACUAGGAACUCAUUUUCUUCAGGAAAUAUGCUACAUUUAUUCUGAAAAAAUAGACCUGCCUCCCUCUCUGCGUUUUCUUACAACCCCUUGUCCACGUGAAUACGCCAAGAGCAAAUGCCUAAAGGACAGUUUAAUUAAGCAGAAAUUCCAUCCAAGAACUCCACUCAAGAGCAAAGACCAAAGCAAGCCUCAAGCCUAGGGGGUGAAAAGGAGGUGGGAACACAUUAAGGGAAACAAAAGGCAGAGAGACCCCUUUUUCCAUUACCGUGAGUCUCGUCAACAGUGUGGUUGUAUUAAAAACACUGAUUAGUGUUCUAAGAAAAUGUGAACAUUGACCACGAAAGCCCCACUGCUUUCUCCUCCAUCACCCUGGACUUUUGUAAGGAUGAAAUGAGAUCAUGCAAGGCUGCGCAUCGAUACUGAAUGGAUGAUGUUUGAUACAGUCAUACUUUAGAAUAGUAUCCAGCCAUUCAAAGGAGUGAGAACGGAAUGGAUUGACUUGGCAGGGAUUUCCACAAAGUAUUAUUGACUGGAGAAGGACAGGAGUAGAGUGAGUGUGCAUAGUAUUAUCCAGUCUUUGCAAAACGGUGCCAUGUGUUCCAAAUGCACGUGUGUACCUGUUCACAGGCCACCCGACUUAGAACUGCACACCAGGCCUCUCCACCCCUUCCCACUCCGCCCGAGUGUUCCCACCCCACUGCUCCGCUUUAUUAGUCCUCCCACCACGUGUCUUUGGACACACUGUUCACCGACUUCUGUGUUUAUUGUCGACCUCCUCCCAUCAGAAUAUAGAAGUUGCAUGAGGUGUGGAAUCUUCGUGGGGCUUUGUUUUUGUUGUUGUCAGUUUGUGUCUUCUUUUAUCCAUCCCUGCAUCCUCUGCAUUAGCAUAAUACUUGGUACACAAUCGGUGCCUGUAAAUGUAUGUAAAUUGGGCAACUACAUGAGUUGAGUAAAUGAAUAUGUAUGAAAAUGGAGGAAAGUAUGGGAGGAAUAACAUGAGGUGAGAGGCACGAAGGGGCAGAGUUAAAGGAAAGAGGAAAAAACAAGCUGCAUUAGCAACGGGAUGGUGUUUAUGCGUCCGUGAGUGUACCUGUGGUUGUGCUGUGUCACUCAGAACAAGGAUGAGGAAUGGACCCCCCUCGGACAUCUGGAAGACGUUCCGUCAGUGUACUUCCUUCACCUCUCAGUUCCAUGUGAUCUCAGGAUUUGAAAGGAGUGACUUAGUGGUGACGCUGGUAACAGAAUCCCCUGUAUCUGCGCUGUCUCCCCCAGAGCCUACUGCCUGAAAGUCAAAGAUGUGGCUUCUGGUCCGCAUGUUGCCACCAUGAAGGCGUGUGGCUGGGGGCAGCUCAGUUCCAUGCCCUGGGCCUUUGUUUGCUCACCUCUGCAGUAGAGCCAGUGACAGUGUUCUAAGUGCCGCCCAGGUUUUUGUGAAGACAGUGGAGACAGUACCGUCCUCCUGCUCUGAGCUCUUCUCCUCGGUCUCUGAUCCACUUUCUGGCCCGCGCUGUGGUUACACGCGCCCCUGGGGAGCUCACGUUCAGAUGAACGGCAGUCUACAAGCAGUGACACCACCUGCCUGAUCUGUCUGGGAAGCGUCUUCACAGGAAGGCUGGGGAUGGCGUCUUAUCCCUGAAUUGUCAGCACCCAGCCAAG
Non-coding RNA from Vicugna pacos (alpaca), 3447 nucleotides. The record is from RefSeq and is a predicted model, not a curated record. NCBI's taxonomy places the organism in Eukaryota, Metazoa, Chordata, Mammalia, Artiodactyla, Camelidae.